This 429-nucleotide ribosomal RNA is filed under the name Gemmatimonadota bacterium. RNAcentral's name for it is "Gemmatimonadetes bacterium partial 16S ribosomal RNA". It matches the Rfam family "Bacterial small subunit ribosomal RNA", at positions 355 to 776 of the family's 1533-position model. The record is from RNAcentral. Lineage: Bacteria; Pseudomonadati; Gemmatimonadota.
UAGGGAAUCUUCGGCAAUGGACGAAAGUCUGACCGAGCAACGCCGCGUGAGUGAAGAAGGUUUUCGGAUCGUAAAACUCUGUUGUUAGAGAAGAACAAGGACGUUAGUAACUGAACGUCCCCUGACGGUAUCUAACCAGAAAGCCACGGCUAACUACGUGCCAGCAGCAGCGGUAAUACGUAGGUGGCAAGCGUUGUCCGGAUUUAUUGGGCGUAAAGCGAGCGCAGGCGGUUUCUUAAGUCUGAUGUGAAAGCCCCCGGCUCAACCGGGGAGGGUAAUUGGAAACUGGGAGACUUGAGUGCAGAAGAGGAGAGUGGAAUUCCAUGUGUAGCGGUGAAAUGCGUAGAUAUAUGGAGGAACACCAGUGGCGAAGGCGGCUCUCUGGUCUGUAACUGACGCUGAGGCUCGAAAGCGUGGGGAGCAAACAGG